This is a non-coding RNA of Cricetulus griseus (Chinese hamster), 761 nucleotides long. Lineage: Eukaryota; Metazoa; Chordata; Mammalia; Rodentia; Cricetidae. The record is from RefSeq and is a predicted model, not a curated record.
CCCGAGCCCUGACCGGGACCAGCUCCCAGGGAGACCCUCAAUCCUGCGAUCCCUUUCCUCCAAGCCGCUCGAGAUCUGUGCCCCGGGACUCCGCGUCUGCCUUGCCUCCUCCAUCGGCUUGCACACCCAGCUUGGCCCUUGCGCUCCUCAUGCAGACACGGCUUCUUCUAGCUCCAAGUGCCUUACCCCAGCCUCAAAGCCCCUCGAGGCCACUUAUGCAAACAUCCUUGUACAAACCCCAGUGUGAGGUCUCUUGGGGCUGCUCCCACACACUGUGGCGAGCCCCAAAGGAAAGGAGCCAGUAUGCAUACAAAGGAUGAGUGUGGGCUUUGACAUCAGUAGAGGGGGUUCAGCUUGAAGAUUUGGAUUGCCUUCUGAAUAUUGCUUGUUAUUUGGUGGCUGAAUGCCUGACACUAUUCUUGGAGGGGAACUCAGAAUCCAUGCCAAAGGCAAAAGGGACUUGGUCUUGUUUAGAACCUCAUGGAUUUAAGAGAGACUGUAAUGUGUGUGAACCUCCUCAUGCCCUGUGUGUGUGGUUUAUUUGGUUUGGUUUUCUCUGCAUGUCUGUGGGCUUCCUGCUUUCAGAGAACAGUGGCUAUGUUCUGAAAAAUUACCCCUUCCCUUUUUGAUGAAGAGUUUGUAUUUCUUUUCUGUCCCUUUGAAUACGUCUAUAAAAAGAAUGAAAGUGUCUGGUUUUGUUUGUUGCACCAACAUUCAAAGAGCUCUGUAAUGGAAAAAUAAAAGCCACUUCAGCUGAUUGA